AAUCGACGACAUCAGCUGCUCCAUAAGUUCCCACACGAAUUGCUUGAUUCAUUGAAGAAGACGAUAGAAGCAGCUUUAAGCUCCAAGCUGAUAGCUCUUAGCUAAUCAGUUACGCGCUCGAAAUUGGGUCUGUAGCUCAGUUGGUUAGAGCGCACCCCUGAUAAGGGUGAGGUCGGCAGUUCGAAUCUGCCCAGACCCACCAAUUUUGUGUGGGAAACGCCUGUAGAAAUACGGGGCCAUAGCUCAGCUGGGAGAGCGCCUGCCUUGCACGCAGGAGGUCAACGGUUCGAUCCCGUUUGGCUCCACCACUACUGCUUCUGUUUGUAGAAAGCUUAGAAAUGAGCAUUCCAUCGUUGUGAUGGUGAAUGUUGAUUUCUAGUCUUUGACUAGUUCGUUCUUUAAAAAUUUGGGUAUGUGAUAGAAAGAUAGACUGAACGUUACUUUCACUGGUAACGGAUCAGGCUAAGGUAAAAUUUGUGAGUUCUCUUAACCGAGAAAUUCGAAUUUUCGGCGAAUGUUGUCUUCAUAGUAUAACCAGAUUGCUUGGGGUUAUAU
This 555-nucleotide transfer RNA is filed under the name Pseudomonas fluorescens. The stretch from base 126 to 199 matches the Rfam family "tRNA". Lineage: Bacteria; Pseudomonadati; Pseudomonadota; Gammaproteobacteria; Pseudomonadales; Pseudomonadaceae. The record is from RNAcentral.